RNAcentral lists this non-coding RNA (777 nucleotides) under Massilia sp. JS1662. RNAcentral describes it as "bacterial LSU rRNA". It matches the Rfam family "Bacterial large subunit ribosomal RNA", at positions 428 to 1211 of the family's 2925-position model. Lineage: Bacteria; Pseudomonadati; Pseudomonadota; Betaproteobacteria; Burkholderiales; Oxalobacteraceae. The record is from RNAcentral.
GAAAUCCUGUCUGAAGAUGGGGGGACCAUCCUCCAAGGCUAAAUACUCGUAAUCGACCGAUAGUGAACCAGUACCGUGAGGGAAAGGCGAAAAGAACCCCGGGAGGGGAGUGAAAUAGAACCUGAAACCGUGUGCAUACAAACAGUCGGAGCCUCUUCGUGGGGUGACGGCGUACCUUUUGUAUAAUGGGUCAGCGACUUACAUUCAGUGGCGAGGUUAACCGAAUAGGGGAGCCGUAGAGAAAUCGAGUCCGAACAGGGCGACAGUCGCUGGGUGUAGACCCGAAACCAGGUGAUCUACCCAUGGCCAGGAUGAAGGUGCGGUAACACGCCCUGGAGGUCCGAACCCACUAAUGUUGAAAAAUUAGGGGAUGAGCUGUGGGUAGGGGUGAAAGGCUAAACAAACCUGGAAAUAGCUGGUUCUCUCCGAAAACUAUUUAGGUAGUGCCUCAAGUAUCACCAUCGGGGGUAGAGCACUGUUAUGGCUAGGGGGUCAUUGCGACUUACCAAACCAUUGCAAACUCCGAAUACCGAUGAGUGCGAGCUUGGGAGACAGACGUCGGGUGCUAACGUCCGGCGUCAAGAGGGAAACAACCCAGACCGCCAGCUAAGGUCCCAAAGAUUGGCUAAGUGGAAAACGAAGUGGGAAGGCUAAAACAGUCAGGAUGUUGGCUUAGAAGCAGCCAUCAUUUAAAGAAAGCGUAAUAGCUCACUGAUCGAGUCGUCCUGCGCGGAAGAUGUAACGGGGCUAAGCCAGUCACCGAAGCUGCGGAUAUGU